GAUGAACGCUGACAGAAUGCUUAACACAUGCAAGUCAACUUGAACUUCGGUUUGGGUGGCGGACGGGUGAGUAACGCGUAAAGAACUUGCCUCACAGCUAGGGACAACAUUUGGAAACGAAUGCUAAUACCUGAUAUUAUGAUUAUAUGGCAUCGUAUAAUUAUGAAAGCUAUAUGCGCUGUGAGAGAGCUUUGCGUCCCAUUAGCUAGUUGGAGAGGUAACAGCUCACCAAGGCGAUGAUGGGUAGCCGGCCUGAGAGGGUGAUCGGCCACAAGGGGACUGAGACACGGCCCUUACUCCUACGGGAGGCAGCAGUGGGGAAUAUUGGACAAUGGACCGAGAGUCUGAUCCAGCAAUUCUGUGUACACGAUGAAGUUUUUCGGAAUGUAAAGUGCUUUCAGUUGGGAAGAAAAAAAUGACGGUACCAACAGAAGAAGUGACGGCUAAAUACGUG
RNAcentral lists this ribosomal RNA (454 nucleotides) under uncultured bacterium. Its description in RNAcentral is "partial 16S ribosomal RNA". It matches the Rfam family "Bacterial small subunit ribosomal RNA", at positions 28 to 507 of the family's 1533-position model. The record is from RNAcentral.